AGUGGCAGGGCACCAGAAUCCACAUGUUGCUCUUUAGAAAAGCUUCUAGCAAGUGUCAGUAAACAGAGAACAUAAAAAAGAAAAAUGAAGCCACAACUAGUGAAAACUGCAGAGAACCCUAUGGCAUACCCAGCCUCAAUUAAUACAUCUGCAAUUCUUCCCUCACUUCUGGGAAUAAAGGCUUCAGAAAGAAUACUAAAAGCCGGAGGACCAGGAAAUUUGGUGCAAGAUUUUUAUCUUCUACAUAAGGACAGGGAAACUAUACAUAUGAAAUCUCAACAACAAAACAAUGGCACCACCAGUUGGCAUACUAAUGUAAACAAGAGAGUUUUCAUAGGGACUAGGUACUAUCCAUCCUGUAUGUCAUAGAUUUUGCUGGUCAGCAUCUAUUAUUGCCUUCCAGUAUUUUUAAAUUCCUGUGUAAUAGUAGCAUAUUCACUAGAUGUAAUUGUUUGUGAUGCUUACUGAUAAACAAGUUCACCCUUUCUAGUACUUUCUGAACUCCAACCAACUGGCUGGUUCUGGCUAAAAACUCUUCAAGCUAACUGAUUCAAACUGUCUUCUCUAGGUUUUUCACUGAAUUUCUCUGCUUGGAAACACUACCUCUGAAAUCCAUGAACUGAACUGUUCUGACUGCACUGAGUACACUAACUGCCUGAACUGAAUGGAACUGAGUAGAACUGCAUGAAUUCAACUGAACUCAACUGCAUUCAAGUGAACUGCACCUAACUGCACUGAACUAAACACAACUAAACUCCGGUCCACUGCAUCCACUGAACUGAACUGAACUGCACUUCACUGAACAUCCAACCUCUGGACUCAUGCUGUGCUACUCUUAAGCAGCCUUCUUUCCUAUCUGAUUUGUGAGAGUUGGGUCUAUCCUAUCUCUCACUCAUUCUGUCAAAUCUUUCUCUAAUUCCUCACUUUGUCUGUCCCUCAACUAGCUGUCACCUUCAAAUGUGGCUGCUUUCUUUUACAAUUAACUUUCCCCUCAUUGUUUGGGAUUAAAGGUUGUACUACGGUGAGUUUGUAUUCCAUCCAAAGAGUUUAAAGGAUCAUUCUUGCCUGAUCACACAGACCUACACAGUCUUUGGACAUGGUUUCUUGCCAGAGCUGUCAUGUUGCUGGAUUGAAAUUCCUCUACAUUCCUGAAUUUGUUUUUUAAUGGGUUGUGAACUUCUGUUCAAUUUUCAUGAAAAGAAUGGAAAUCUGAAAUAAAUCCUAAUAGCACAGUU
This is a long non-coding RNA of Apodemus sylvaticus (European woodmouse), 1235 nucleotides long. RefSeq lists it as uncharacterized. NCBI's taxonomy places the organism in Eukaryota, Metazoa, Chordata, Mammalia, Rodentia, Muridae. The transcript is spliced from 2 exons. The record is from RefSeq and is a predicted model, not a curated record.